RNAcentral lists this microRNA precursor (59 nucleotides) under Daphnia magna. Its description in RNAcentral is "Dma-Mir-193-P1_pre stem-loop". Lineage: Eukaryota; Metazoa; Arthropoda; Branchiopoda; Diplostraca; Daphniidae. The record is from RNAcentral.
CGGGAUUUAGUGGAACAGUUGUUAUAUUAUGCAAAAAUACUGGCCUGCUAAGUCCCAAG